RNAcentral lists this non-coding RNA (110 nucleotides) under Pelusios castaneus (West African mud turtle). The record is from RNAcentral. Lineage: Eukaryota; Metazoa; Chordata; Testudines; Pelomedusidae.
GUGUGGUAUGAAAGGAAAGGAGGUUAGCACUCAGCUUGAUAAGGGUGGGAGAGAUGUAGUGGCCUUUUCAACGCACAUAUGGUUAAAGCAAUGGCACUUAAUCACUUUUG